This 133-nucleotide ribosomal RNA is filed under the name uncultured bacterium. RNAcentral's name for it is "partial 16S ribosomal RNA". It matches the Rfam family "Bacterial small subunit ribosomal RNA", at positions 355 to 479 of the family's 1533-position model. The record is from RNAcentral.
UGAGGAAUAUUGCGCAAUGGGCGAAAGCCUGACGCAGCAACGCCGCGUGGGGGAUGAAGUUCUAUGGAGCGUAAACCCCUGUAAGUGGGGACGAAGUUUAGAUAGUCGAACAGGCUAUUUAAUUGACGGUACC